ACAUCUCAGUACCCGGAGGAAAAGACAUCAACCGAGAUUCCGUUAGUAGUGGCGAGCGAACGCGGACCAGGCCAGUGCCUCUGAUUCAACUAGCAGAACGAUCUGGAAAGUUCGGCCAUAGCGGGUGACAGCCCCGUAUGCGAAAGUGAGAUCAGAGGACUCGAGUAGGGCGGGACACGUGUAAUCCUGUCUGAACAUGGGGGGACCACCCUCCAAGCCUAAAUACUCGUAUGCGACCGAUAGCGAACUAGUACCGUGAGGGAAAGGUGAAAAGCACCCCGAUGAGGGGAGUGAAACAGUACCUGAAACGGAUU
RNAcentral lists this ribosomal RNA (314 nucleotides) under Nostoc sp. 3335mG. Its description in RNAcentral is "bacterial LSU rRNA". It matches the Rfam family "Bacterial large subunit ribosomal RNA", at positions 198 to 556 of the family's 2925-position model. Lineage: Bacteria; Bacillati; Cyanobacteriota; Cyanophyceae; Nostocales; Nostocaceae. The record is from RNAcentral.